This 60-nucleotide transfer RNA is filed under the name Dipodomys ordii (Ord's kangaroo rat). It matches the Rfam family "tRNA", at positions 6 to 65 of the family's 71-position model. Rfam says of the family: Transfer RNA (tRNA) molecules are approximately 80 nucleotides in length. Their secondary structure includes four short double-helical elements and three loops (D, anti-codon, and T loops). Lineage: Eukaryota; Metazoa; Chordata; Mammalia; Rodentia; Heteromyidae. The record is from Rfam by way of RNAcentral.
GUUAGCUCAGUGGUAGAGCGCUUGCCUUGCAUGCAGGAGGCCCUGGGUUUGAUUCCACAC